GAGUUGUGCAGCCCUGCCCUAGAGGUUUUUAUGGUGUUGAGCUCCCUGGCAGAUUCUCUGAUGACUAACAUGGGCUGAGUGCCAAGCGAAGGUUUUCCCACACUCACUGCAUCCAUGGGGCUUCUCCCCUGUGUGGAUUCUCUGAUGGGAAAUAAGAUGUGAGCUGCACUUGAAGGUUUUCCCACACUCACUGCAUCCAUGGGGCUUCUCCCCUGUGUGGAUUCUCUGAUGGGAAAUAAGAUGUGAGCUGCGCUUGAAGGUUUUCCCACACACA
Molecule: long non-coding RNA, 274 nt
Organism: Gopherus flavomarginatus (Mexican gopher tortoise)
Lineage: Eukaryota; Metazoa; Chordata; Testudines; Testudinidae
Exons: 3
Source: RefSeq, a predicted model, not a curated record